UACGUAGGGCGCAAGCGUUAUCCGGAAUUAUUGGGCGUAAAGAGCUCGUAGGCGGUUUGUCGCGUCUGCUGUGAAAGACCGGGGCUCAACUCCGGUUCUGCAGUGGGUACGGGCAGACUAGAGUGCAGUAGGGGAGACUGGAAUUCCUGGUGUAGCGGUGAAAUGCGCAGAUAUCAGGAAGAACACCCGUGGCGAAGGCGGCUCUCUGGGACGGUACUGACGCUGAGACGCGAAAGCGUGGGGAGCAAACAGG
This 253-nucleotide ribosomal RNA is filed under the name uncultured bacterium. RNAcentral's name for it is "partial 16S ribosomal RNA". It matches the Rfam family "Bacterial small subunit ribosomal RNA", at positions 524 to 776 of the family's 1533-position model. The record is from RNAcentral.